RNAcentral lists this ribosomal RNA (668 nucleotides) under uncultured Bacilli bacterium. RNAcentral's name for it is "bacterial SSU rRNA". It matches the Rfam family "Bacterial small subunit ribosomal RNA", at positions 68 to 716 of the family's 1533-position model. The record is from RNAcentral. Lineage: Bacteria; Bacillati; Bacillota; Bacilli.
UCCACCGGAGCUUGCUCCACCGGAAAAAGAGGAGUGGCGAACGGGUGAGUAACACGUGGGUAACCUGCCCAUCAGAAGGGGAUAACACUUGGAAACAGGUGCUAAUACCGUAUAACAAUCGAAACCGCAUGGUUUUGAUUUGAAAGGCGCUUUCGGGUGUCGCUGAUGGAUGGACCCGCGGUGCAUUAGCUAGUUGGUGAGGUAACGGCUCACCAAGGCCACGAUGCAUAGCCGACCUGAGAGGGUGAUCGGCCACAUUGGGACUGAGACACGGCCCAAACUCCUACGGGAGGCAGCAGUAGGGAAUCUUCGGCAAUGGACGAAAGUCUGACCGAGCAACGCCGCGUGAGUGAAGAAGGUUUUCGGAUCGUAAAACUCUGUUGUUAGAGAAGAACAAGGAUGAGAGUAGCUGUUCAUCCCUUGACGGUAUCUAACCAGAAAGCCACGGCUAACUACGUGCCAGCAGCCGCGGUAAUACGUAGGUGGCAAGCGUUGUCCGGAUUUAUUGGGCGUAAAGCGAGCGCAGGCGGUUUCUUAAGUCUGAUGUGAAAGCCCCCGGCUCAACCGGGGAGGGUCAUUGGAAACUGGGAGACUUGAGUGCAGAAGAGGAGAGUGGAAUUCCAUGUGUAGCGGUGAAAUGCGUAGAUAUAUGGAGGAACACCAGUGGC